AUGACAGCGUUGCCUAGCUCCUCUCUCAGGCAUGGGAGAAGGUCUCUCUCCUCCUUGUAUUUCUGGGCUUGUGGAGAAUGUGACGCACCGGACCCAACGGGGUGUGACCCUCUGAGACUGGCUUUCUCACGCGAGCACUUUCCAGAGCUGCAGUCGUGCUGGGAUACGGCGUCGAGCACGCGGUCGGGUUCCUUACGUCUGCCCUAUGCCUCCGUUUCUUCACCUGCAAAACGGGGACAAUCCCAUCUAUGUCACAAGGCCGCGGCCUGCAGCUCGGACUGUCGUCAUCUGUCACGACGGAGCUGCUGCUGCCAUCGGUCUUGUCGCCUUGACUCCUCCGGCACAUCGGGCGGUGAGCCCCUUGCGCCUUCGGCCACACCGAAGUCCUGGCCCGGUCCUCGGUCCUCGCGGCCUUGCUGGGCGGGGGAGGGGCUGCAGCUGCAGGACGCCGACCGCAAGGACACUUUGCUGAGAGGGGACGGCCACUUAGAGGAAGGCACUGGAAGAUGGCGCUGCACGGGGCUGGCCUUGCGCUGGGGACCUGGGGACACGCGUUCACACCGUCUGUGGAGAGCGGGUAAAAAUGCUUUGUUGUUCCAUCUGAAUCCCCGACGGCCGCCGUCCAACCUCCAGCGCACGUCGGCUCUGCAGUUAACUGAGCAGAUACUACAGGAUCCAUCUGCACAGCGACGCGCUCCAGCAGGUCCAGCCCGCUCGCCGGGGGAGCUCACCCGGCACUUGGAAUGCGUCCCCCACAGCACACCUCUAACCGAGCAGAAGCAUCUGAUCCCCCAGCUGGAGUGAUAGUGGAGAUUUUGUCGCCAGAUGUUCUGCUUUACUACCUUCUGGAGGAGGUAUUUUCAUCCAUAAACCCGUAUUCACUUUGCACUGAUCACCUUCCUGAACUUACAUUUCGGAGAUAUACUUAGGACGAUAUAAUCGGCAGUAGUCAAAGUGGAGCAUUCUUUUCUUUAAAUAAAAAUUUCUUAAAAUAAAAAUUUUGUCUUGUU
This 1010-nucleotide long non-coding RNA is filed under the name Vulpes vulpes (red fox). RNAcentral describes it as "lncRNA (ENSVVUG00000001310.1)". The record is from RNAcentral. Lineage: Eukaryota; Metazoa; Chordata; Mammalia; Carnivora; Canidae.